Molecule: long non-coding RNA, 1174 nt
Organism: Gadus chalcogrammus (walleye pollock)
Lineage: Eukaryota; Metazoa; Chordata; Actinopteri; Gadiformes; Gadidae
Exons: 4
Source: RefSeq, a predicted model, not a curated record
GCUGCUGGCACUAGAUGAAGAAGACAUUAGGGUUGACGCGGUGUGGACAUUUUCACACCGAGUAAUACACUCGCGUCAACACCGGUAUUACUGAGUAUACAGGUGCACAUGUGGAAAUUGUGCCACAAUGCAGUCAGAGCCAGAGAACGUAUGCUGUCAGGAGGUGCCUCAGGUUACAAGACGGCAGGAACAGCUGGAUGAAAGGCCUCCCUGUAUGAUAGACCAUCCAGGUGUAGAACCGGUUUGUCUAAAUAUGUUCUCGCUGCAGAACGCAUUCAACAUUUACAGAGCUGACGACAGUCCUUUGCGACUACGGGGGAUAGUGCAUCGUUACAGGUAUUUAGCCUAUAGAAAUUUUGUGAGCUGGUGCUGGGGCUUCCUUGGGCGGAAGAUACGGGUUGUUAUCCCAUCAUGCGUUGUUCUUCGUAUACACCGGGAGUUUCCUGACGCCCAUGGAAGAUAAGGAGGCUUCAAACCACCCUCCCUUGAUUGAAUCUGGAGGCGUAGCUGGCGAUGACCUCCACCUUGUCUGGAUGCUCAUAUUCUGAAGACAGUUCCGGCGGGAUGUUUAUCUUCAGAAUCUCUGCUCUGUGCGAUGCUGGGUCGACAAAGACCUUCUCCAUGAUCAUGUCCAUCAAAUCAUUCACAUACUCUGUGCAACACACACAAAAGGGAAUCACUAGUUACUAGAUUAUUCAACAACUGUUCAUGCAUUGACAUUUUGCAAUUUGAAUAUUUGGUAUAUUUUCAGGUAUUUAUGUGCAUUUAUUUGUUUAUUUUAUUGUGUUGGAGUUUGUCUCAUGUACUUUGUCUCAUGUUCAAUAUAAAUGUUUAUUUUCUGAGUAAAAUUAAAAGUUGACACUUACGGAAUGUCGCCUCAGUCUUCACUGGUUUGGCUCUGCACUCUCCCUUCCGGGCCAUAGGAAAGGUCAGUCUGAACAUAAGAUCCCCUGAUGACGUAGUGGCUUGUCCUCAAUCAAAAUGCUCAUUGUAAUGCAGUGCAGCCAGGUAGAGUCUGACAUUAAAAAGAAAAAUCAAACAUGGAAAUAAUGCAAGAAAUGGGAAAAUGUUCACAACAAGUAAUCUCAGCCUAAUUUACCUGCACAGCAUUCCUAGAAAUGGAUAGACCACAUUUUUAGGAGCGAACCGCAGGAUCACGGCGUGGAAUGCCUCC